This 95-nucleotide small nuclear RNA is filed under the name Suricata suricatta (meerkat). Lineage: Eukaryota; Metazoa; Chordata; Mammalia; Carnivora; Herpestidae. The record is from RNAcentral.
GUACUUAGUACCCAUACUAAAAUUGGAAAGAUGCAGAGAAGACUGGCAUGGUCCCUGUGCAAGGAUGAUGCCAACUGGAAUCACAAAAGAUGUCC